GGUGACGCCGGGCUGCUGCGCCGGCAGUCCGCCACAAAGCCUCGUACUGAUCGCGCGUUUCUCUCAUUAUUGUAUUUUCAUAUAUUUGUUAGUCGUUUGUUUUGUGUCUCGUUAAUUUGUUAAUAAUCUGUAGUGUAUCGUGUUGUCGUAAUAUAGAACUAUUUCUCGUAUUGUUUCGUUUAAUUUUUUAUAUCCAGUCCAGUUUUUUAACUCCAGUCGUGCGUCGGAGCGGACACACACACUUUUUUUUAUAUAAUAGUAAAUAGAUUUAAAUAAAACUGGACAUUUCAGUAAAUCUUGGACACGGCGGGGAAUUUCUUUUUGUGAUGGUUGACAAUGUUGACAUUGAUGACUACCAUUUGCAUUGAGUAAUGAGUCUAAAGCUGAUCUUGUCGGGUUAUUUGCUAAAGAAUUUCCAUGUUUAGUUUGAUUAUUCUCAUCAAAAUCCAUCAAUUUCAUAAUAUCUGUUACUAGUAUUAAACGUUGAAAUUUAAAAGUCGGGCAACUCAAGAAGAGGUGGGAUAAGUCGGCCUCAUUUCCUCCACAAUUCAGUCACGUGUCUAUAUAUUUGUGAAGUAUAAAGGUUAUACAGGAUUGGAGAUAAAGAAGACCCUUGCAUCAACCCCUUGAAAGCUAAUUUUGGACCAUGAAAAACAUUAUUGUAUUUAAUGUAUAAAGAACGACCAAAAUACAUAUUGAAAAUCCAUUUUAAAAGUUUUCCUGGGAAACCCAAAGAAUAUAGCACCCUAAUUAAUUGGUGAAGAUCUACAUUAUCAUAUGCCCCCUGCACAUCAAGGAAAACACAAAUUGCAGUAGAACCUGAUAACAAACACUUUUUCAUAUCAGUCAGAAACGUGCAGAUUUUGAAGCAUAAUAUAAGGAAUAUCGUCAAGACCAGGGGUUGUAUUCUUUCUUGAAGACAAAGCCAAGUCAAGUUCUUCAAAAUAAAAAGAGUUAAGUAGAAACAUGCUCCACUGACUUCCGUCAUUAAAUUCAAAUAAACCAGAAAUAUUAUCAUUGUUAUUACUAGGCUGCGCUAACUUCUCUAAAAAACUUUCUAUCCACUCAUCAUUUUUGGACAGAUUUCUAUUAAUGUUAAUUCUCUUAAAUCUUCUAAUAAAAUUCCACACUCGGGAUACUGGAGUGAAUCUAUUAAAAGAUGAACAAAGACUUUUCCAACUGUCUUUCUUAGCCAGUUUGAUAAUAAUUUUUUUCCUAGAAUCUAUUUUCUUAUAUUCUAUAUAAUUGUCCAUUGUCAUAUUACGUCUAUAAUUAGCUAACGCUUCUCUUGAUUUAGUUACAGCCUCAGCACAAGUAUCAUUCCACCAAGGAGCUGGAGGAGCAGACUUUUUACUAGAAGAUUUAUGUUUUAACAAUGGAAUACAGUUUUCUUUUAAACUAAGUAGCAAUUUAGAAAAUUCAUCAUAUUGAACUAAAGGAUCAACGGUUGAAGGAGAAAAAUUAUCAAAUAUAUCUUUGGAUUUGUCUUUGUACAUA
Bombyx mori (domestic silkworm) is the source of this 1497-nucleotide long non-coding RNA. RefSeq lists it as uncharacterized. The transcript is spliced from 3 exons. The record is from RefSeq and is a predicted model, not a curated record. Lineage: Eukaryota; Metazoa; Arthropoda; Insecta; Lepidoptera; Bombycidae.